UCUCAGUAUAUACUUUAGGGGCUAAUAAAGUAUGCAAUUUUAGGUGCCUUAAUAAUUUACUAUUUUUGUUAAAAUGGCAAAGAAUUAAAAAAAAUCCUAAUAGUCAAACUUGAUGUAAUGUUGUUUAACAAAGUAAUGUAUUCAUGCCAAUCAAACAUAUCAAAGAUUGACAGUUUAGUGACAGAGGCUCUACAACCGAAUCUAUUUUCAGAUGUGAUACAAGAUCUGUUAGUGAACAGCAUUAGCUCCAGUUCACACUCCCGACCAGAUGGUGGCGGAAUUGCACACUUUGUUUUUUUGUUUUUUUAAAGCGCCAUAAAAAGAAAAGAAGAAGCCAUGCGGCAGAGAAGAUAACAGACACUGUUCAAAUUCGCAAUUUUUACUCACAGAAUAUUGCCUCAUACAAAGAGAGGGCCUUGAUAAUAGUUAGUAGUUUUGAUAAAUUCAAGCUACGUCCUAGUCCGAGUUAGACGACAACACAACAGGACAACAACAGGAUGGAAAUUAAAUGUGUGUCACAAAAGGAACGGAAGUGACUAAGGCUGCUAACGUGUUGCUAGCUGGUGUCUAAUCAAAUGAAGAUGAAACAGGAAGCCAGAGAGAUCAGGUGUUAGAAAACCUAAAGACUUUUCUGUCUCAGAAGAAGCUGUGGCUCCACCAGAUCAACAACCAGCUCUGAGGAUGAACCUCCACAUUGUCUUCCUGGUGGAAGGAUUUUUUUUUUUUUACUGACCAGCUAGCUACAUUUUCAACAGCAAAAACUGUUGUGUUACCAACACUAAAUGCUUAAUAAACAUGAUUUGAUU
Poecilia latipinna (sailfin molly) is the source of this 806-nucleotide long non-coding RNA. RefSeq lists it as uncharacterized. The record is from RefSeq and is a predicted model, not a curated record. The transcript is spliced from 2 exons. NCBI's taxonomy places the organism in Eukaryota, Metazoa, Chordata, Actinopteri, Cyprinodontiformes, Poeciliidae.